This 497-nucleotide ribosomal RNA is filed under the name uncultured bacterium. Its description in RNAcentral is "partial 16S ribosomal RNA". It matches the Rfam family "Bacterial small subunit ribosomal RNA", at positions 28 to 507 of the family's 1533-position model. The record is from RNAcentral.
GACGAACGCUGGCGGCGUGCCUAAUACAUGCAAGUUGAGCGCUGAAGGUUGGUACUUGUCCCAACUGGCUGAGCAGCGAACGGGUGAGUAACGCGUGGGGAAUCUGCCUUUGAGCGGGGGACAACAUUUGGAAACGAAUGCUAAUACCGCAUAAAAACUUUAAACACAAGUUUUAAGUUUGAAAGAUGCAAUUGCAUCACUCAAAGAUGAUCCCGCGUUGUAUUAGCUAGUUGGUGAGGUAAAGGCUCACCAAGGCGAUGAUACAUAGCCGACCUGAGAGGGUGAUCGGCCACAUUGGGACUGAGACACGGCCCAAACUCCUACGGGAGGCAGCAGUAGGGAAUCUUCGGCAAUGGACGAAAGUCUGACCGAGCAACGCCGCGUGAGUGAAGAAGGUUUUCGGAUCGUAAAACUCUGUUGGUAGAGAAGAACGUUGGUGAGAGUGGAAAGCUCAUCAAGUGACGGUAACUACCCAGAAAGGGACGGCUAACUUCGUG